AGAGUUUGAUCAUGGCUCAGAAUCAACGCUGGCGGCGCGCUUAACACAUGCAAGUCGAACGAGAAAGGGUAGCAAUACCUGAGUAAAGUGGCGUACGGGUGAGUAACACGUGGAUCAUCUGCCCUUUGGUGGGGAAUAACUCUGGGAAACCGGAGCUAAUACCGCAUAAGUCCGAGAGGAGAACGCAGCAAUGCGCCGAAGGAGGAGUCCGCGGCUGAUUAGCUAGUUGGUAGGGUAAUGGCCUACCAAGGCGACGAUCGGUAGCCGGCCUGAGAGGGCACACGGCCACACUGGCACUGAGACACGGGCCAGACUCCUACGGGAGGCAGCAGUGGGGAAUCUUGCACAAUGGGGGAAACCCUGAUGCAGCGACGCCGCGUGAGUGAUGAAGCCCUUCGGGGUGUAAAGCUCUUUCGACGGGAACGAUAAUGACGGUACCCGGAGAAGAAGCUGCGGCUAACUACGUGCCAGCAGCCGCGGUAAUACGUAGGCAGCAAGCGUUGUUCGGAAUUACUGGGCGUAAAGAGUACGUAGGUGGUUUGCCAAGUCCGAUGUGAAAUCUCCUGGCUUAACUGGGAGGGUGCGUUAGAAACUGGCAGGCUUGAGUGUGGGAGAGGAGAGCGGAAUUCCUGGUGUAGCGGUGAAAUGCGUAGAUAUCAGGAGGAACGCCUGUGGUGUAGACGGCUCUCUGGACCAUUACUGACACUGAGGUACGAAAGCGUGGGUAGCAAACAGGAUUAGAUACCCUAGUAGUCC
Molecule: ribosomal RNA, 756 nt
Filed under: uncultured bacterium
Lineage: Bacteria
Description: bacterial SSU rRNA
Rfam family: Bacterial small subunit ribosomal RNA
Source: RNAcentral